AUGCAGAAAUACGGCCGACGGGUAUCUUGUACGGUGGGCCAGGUUUGUGGUGGAGGAGCACCUCCUUUAACGAUUCAAAACAGGGCCGUGGCUCAUGCCGUCAUUCCCGUCCUGAUCCGUGGCUCGUUUAGACCUCAGUACCCGAGUAAAUGGAGGGAUGGGUUGCUGGGCAGAGUUCUCUCCUACCUCCGGCUCCUGGUUUUUUCUAUUAUCGAAACCACCGUGCUGGAGGACGUUAACGAUGGCAACGUACUCAUGGAGCCACUACACUGCCAGUGGUCGCAACCGUUGCAGACCCGCUGCCGCCCAUGGCGGCAUCGAUUACUCGAUUUGUUAGAUGGACCCAAAAGCCCCAGCAUGGACUCGGAAGCUGAUGGCAUAUCUGGUCUUGCGUGCACAGUGAGGAUCGGUGCGGCCGCUGCCGCACCGGGAAGGUCACCUUGUCCUAAUCGCACUAGUGCACUGGAGAAGGCAAUUCAUGGUUUUGCGGAAAAUCCAGGAGAUGAUGUGAUCGUCCCUGCACUAGGAACUAGCUUUGAUUGUUUGAGUGAAGCCUUCGACUAUUGCCAUUGGACUUCGAUUCUUUUGGGUGAAGCAUACGACUUUUACAAGCUUCGAUUCUUUGACAAAUCUAUAUUUUAUAAAUGCGAGGAUUUGGGGGCGGAUGGUACUGGUCUCCUGGAUUCUUCAAUGGCGAGAGGGGUGAGCUUGCAGGACGGCGAAUCUAGGAGGGCUGCAUCCACUGGUGGGCAUGGAGAUCCUAUGCAGCCAAAUAAGGUAGCGUUACUGAUAGUUACGCCCAAAUGGAGCCUCUCACGCCUAGAGCUUUCACGGUCAGAUUUGUGUGCAGGGGGCGAAGGUGGGAGAUCACAGGAGGAUUCACUGCAGGCUUUCGAACAAUUGAUAGGCAAGAUGGACCUUAGAGCUCCAGGAUGGAGCUGCAGUGAUAACAAUAACAUAUACUCACCACAAAGAGGCCUCACGACAGGGCAAUCCUCUCACUAUCUCCACACAAUCAUCGUUUCCAUGGCGCCUUCCCUUUGCUCAACGUCGUCACCCGACCACUCCCCUCCUCUCCCUGCCACGAUCACCCCCUCCUCUCCCCUCCACAGCGUCAACACUCCUCCUCUCCACACCACCGAUGGAGCUUGUCUGCUCUUGUCCCCGCCGCCUCCCUUCCCUCGAAACAGAAAUUUCCACGUGUUUACACAAUGUGGAUUAAAUAAUGUUUAUAAACAUAAUGUAGAAAUCACAUCUUGCAUGUCCAAGCGCAAACCCCAUGAUAGCAUGGCCCCGCAAGAGCACACCUCAGCAAUCUCUUCCAUGUCUAUGGAGACGAGGGAGAAUCUGGACACGUACCUCCAUCGCAAGUGCCUCUCUGCCCCUCCCUGUGUCACCCUUCAUUACCUGUGUCUGCAGCGCCUAAAUCAGACGAUGGUUUUGCAACAAGAGACCUAUAAAGGAGCGCAGUGGCGGAGCUUCGUUGGGGCAAAGGCAUGCCGUGGCCCGCCCACCGUUGUGGCCAACACACGCCCGCCCAGUUUUUUGGUCUUAGCUCCGCCACUGAAGGAGCACAUCAGUUUUGCAGAUAAAAGAGGCAUUCAUCAUAACAGAACACAUUGA
RNAcentral lists this ribosomal RNA (1623 nucleotides) under Triticum aestivum (bread wheat). RNAcentral describes it as "partial small subunit ribosomal RNA". The record is from RNAcentral. Lineage: Eukaryota; Viridiplantae; Streptophyta; Magnoliopsida; Poales; Poaceae.